Long non-coding RNA from Rosa rugosa (rugosa rose), 399 nucleotides. RefSeq lists it as uncharacterized. Lineage: Eukaryota; Viridiplantae; Streptophyta; Magnoliopsida; Rosales; Rosaceae. The transcript is spliced from 5 exons. The record is from RefSeq and is a predicted model, not a curated record.
GAGUAGCAGACAAGUAUAUUGGGGAGCCCUUGGAUCGCCGUCAUCGCAGCCGUUCCUGUCAGUCUCUGUUACUGUUUCUGUGUAAUUAGGCAAUGGCGUGCAGGCCUACUUCUCCUACCGAGUAACCACCAAGGAUCGAUAAUGAGAGGCCUCCUCAAGGUGGAGAACCCUCAAUGCACAAUGUCGAUUGGAGAGUCAAUUGCUGCCAGAUUCACGUGAAAUAAUAGUCAAAAGUAUAUAUCAAGGCAGAAGCACCUGUUGGCUGCUCCCACUCGCACUUGUGCUACUCCCUCUUUUUUUCCUAGUUUUGAUACUGGAUUUUUGGAUGUGAGAACUCUAGCUGGAGAACAAGAGAAUUGUGAUUUUGCUUACAACUAUCUUAGUGGUACAAUACUAAAG